GAGUUUGAUCUUGGCUCAGAUUGAACGCUGGCGGCAUGCCUUACACAUGCAAGUCGAACGGUAACAGGUCUUCGGAUGCUGACGAGUGGCGAACGGGUGAGUAAUACAUCGGAACGUGCCCAGACGUGGGGGGAUAACGAGGCGAAAGCUUUGCUAAUACCGCAUACGAUCUAAGGAUGAAAGCAGGGGACCGCAAGGCCUUGCGCGUUUGGAGCGGCCGAUGGCAGAUUAGGUAGUUGGUGGGAUAAAAGCUUACCAAGCCGACGAUCUGUAGCUGGUCUGAGAGGACGACCAGCCACACUGGGGCUGAGACACGGCCCAGACUCCUACGGGAGGCAGCAGUGGGGAAUUUUGGACAAUGGGCGAAAGCCUGAUCCAGCAAUGCCGCGUGCAGGAUGAAGGCCUUC
Molecule: ribosomal RNA, 407 nt
Filed under: uncultured microorganism
Description: bacterial SSU rRNA
Rfam family: Bacterial small subunit ribosomal RNA
Source: RNAcentral